GUCUAUAUUCUGUCUUUGCCGAGGAUAGACCAAGAAUGGAGUCUUAGAACUUUUAACCCAGUGCCCAACAGUUGGCCCAUACUAUAUCCAUGCUGCACCAAACCUAACCUUGCAAACGGCCUUUGAUCUGCCAAUCAUUGAGAAACAGUUAGAUCUGUACACCUCGACAUUUCAGAAUUCCUGCUUCAGGAGCCCUGAAAACCUGGGAGGUUGUUGUGGCCUAAAAUGCUUCCUGGAGGCCGAAGGUGUCUACAGGCCCAGAGAGCAGAGUGUGGUCCUCAAAUCUUUAAGGCCAUGCAGCUUGGCGUCCAUCUGUUCAGAGAACAGAGUGUUGUCUUUGAAGGGGAGGUCUUGGACCGACUGCUGCUCCUUGUGGGAGGGGCCCAAUGACUGGAGCCACAAACAGCACCUCAUGGUGACCUCUGACCCCUUUGUUCUGGCUUCCGAGUUGGCUGCAUCCAGAGCUGUCUGCAGGGAGGCCAUAGCCGCCAUCUUGCCCUCCUCCAGGAUGGCAGAGUACUCCUGCCUCUAUUCCUGUGGCAUGGAGUCCCAGAACUUGGCCAGUGAAUCCCACAAUUUAAAGUUUUACCUCCCCAGCAAGGCCUGCUGGUUAGAGAU
Chelonia mydas (Green sea turtle) is the source of this 618-nucleotide long non-coding RNA. RefSeq lists it as uncharacterized. The record is from RefSeq and is a predicted model, not a curated record. The transcript is spliced from 3 exons. NCBI's taxonomy places the organism in Eukaryota, Metazoa, Chordata, Testudines, Cheloniidae.